UACAGAGGAUGCAAGCGUUAUCCGGAAUGAUUGGGCGUAAAGCGUCUGUAGGUGGCUUUUUAAGUCCGCCGUCAAAUCCCAGGGCUCAACUCUGGACAGGCGGUGGAAACUACCAAGCUGGAGUACGGUAGGGGCAGAGGGAAUUCCCGGUGUAGCGGUGAAAUGCGUAGAGAUCGGGAGGAACAUCAGUGGCGAAGGCGGCCAUCUGGGACAACACUGACGCUGAAGCACGAAAGCGUGGGGAGCAAACAGG
This 253-nucleotide ribosomal RNA is filed under the name uncultured bacterium. RNAcentral's name for it is "partial 16S ribosomal RNA". It matches the Rfam family "Bacterial small subunit ribosomal RNA", at positions 524 to 776 of the family's 1533-position model. The record is from RNAcentral.